This 447-nucleotide ribosomal RNA is filed under the name uncultured bacterium. RNAcentral describes it as "partial 16S ribosomal RNA". It matches the Rfam family "Bacterial small subunit ribosomal RNA", at positions 29 to 523 of the family's 1533-position model. The record is from RNAcentral.
AACGAACGCUGGCGGCAGGCUUAACACAUGCAAGUCGAACGCCCCGCAAGGGGAGUGGCAGACGGGUGAGUAACGCGUGGGAAUCUACCCAUCUCUGCGGAAUAGCUCUGGGAAACUGGAAUUAAUACCGCAUACGCCCUACGGGGGAAAGAUUUAUCGGGGAUGGAUGAGCCCGCGUUGGAUUAGCUAGUUGGUGGGGUAAAGGCCUACCAAGGCGACGAUCCAUAGCUGGUCUGAGAGGAUGAUCAGCCACAUUGGGACUGAGACACGGCCCAAACUCGUGCGGGGGGCAGCGGUGGGGGGUCUGGGACAAUGGACGCAAGCCUGACCCAGCCAUGCCGCGUGAGUGAUGAAGGCCUUAGGGUUGUAAAGCUCUUUCGCCGAUGAAGAUAAUGACGGUAGUCGGAGAAGAAGCCCCGGCUAACUUCGUGCCAGCCGCCGCCGUAA